RNAcentral lists this long non-coding RNA (1124 nucleotides) under Homo sapiens (human). RNAcentral's name for it is "HSALNT0287453". Lineage: Eukaryota; Metazoa; Chordata; Mammalia; Primates; Hominidae. The record is from RNAcentral.
CUCAGUGUCUCGACCUUGAUGCCUGGAAAAGCCUGGACCCCUGUUUUGUGCUGAGGAUGUCUUCUCCCCUUAAACCAGGAUUGAUUCUGGAGUGUAAGUCAGCAAUAUGAACUUGAUGCUCAUUUUGGCCUAAAGAUGGAGUCAUGAUCUGUCCCAGGCUGAAGUACAGUGGCACGAUCAUAGCUCACUGCAGCCUCAAAGGCCUGGGCUCAACGGAUCCUUCCUCCUCAGCCUCUUGAAUAGCAGAUUUUAUACACAUCUGCAAAGUCUUUGGCCCUAUCCACCCUUCCUCUUGACUCUGCACUGGCCUUAGGCACACUGCAUGACUUUCCAGGCUGGGCCAAUAAAAGCCAUGCAGCUUCCAUUUGGUUCUCUUUGGUUGCUUGUUCAUCCCUCUGGAGAUGUUUCUUAUGAGAACCCAGAAGCCAUGCUAUAAGAAGCCACAAGGAGAGGCCAUGUAUAGAAACUCCAGUCAACAGUUCCAGAUGAACCUGUCCUUCAACACUCAGAGCCAAGCUGCCAGACAUCCCAGAACUGAGCCCAAGACUCAGGACAUGGUCGGAAUUCAGUAAGAUGCUUACUUCCUUAAUUUUGGACAGUCUUCUGAUAAUGCAGCAAACUAUCGUGGAAAGUGGUUCUGUAGCUGCGUCACACACUAGGUCCCUAUUGGGCUUUGUGAACGAUGAAAACUAUUCCGAAAUCUGUUUCUUGUGAGUUUUUGCCAAAUCCAAGCUUGUCUUUAGACCAAUUGAUUCUUUUUUGGGGGGAGUGUUAUUCUAAAUUCAAGGCUUUAUUUACAUUUAAAUUAUAUUUUACAUUUUUUCUAAUCUUUUCAUAUUUUAGAUAUGCAUGUGAAUAUAUAUAUAUAUAUAAUAUAAAAUUGUGAUUAACGGUAUAAGCUUUAGAGUCAGAAUGAACUAGGCUGAAAACUGAGCAACCUCACCUACUAGUAAUAUGACCUUGAAUAAGGUGUUUUACCCCAGAGAGCCUCAGUUUAUCAUGUGUAAAAGGGGGGUAAUAACACCAGAUAAUACAGAGAUUUGUUAGGGAUUGAAGAUUAUGUAUAUAUAUACACAUAUACAUAAAGUCUAUAGUAUAAUACCUGACACAGAGUAAUCAUUCCA